CCUACGGGAGGCAGCAGUGGGGAAUAUUGGGCAAUGGAGGAAACUCUGACCCAGCGACGCCGCGUGCGGGAUGAAGGCCUUCGGGUUGUAAACCGCUUUCAGCAGGGAAGAAGCGAAAGUGACGGUACCUGCAGAAGAAGCACCGGCUAACUAUGUGCCAGCAGCCGCGGUAAUACAUAGGGUGCAAGCGUUGUCCGGAAUUAUUGGGCGUAAAGAGCUCGUAGGUGGUUCGUCACGUCGGAUGUGAAAAUCUGGGGCUUAACCCCAGACCUGCAUUCGAUACGGGCGAGCUUGAGUAUGGUAGGGGAGUCUGGAAUUCCUGGUGUAGCGGUGGAAUGCGCAGAUAUCAGGAGGAACACCAAUGGCGAAGGCAGGACUCUGGGCCAUUACUGACACUGAGGAGCGAAAGCGUGGGGAGCGAACAGGAUUAGAUACCCUGGUAGUCCACGCCGUAAACGGUGGGCACUAGUUGUGGGGACCUUCCACGGUCUCUGCGACGCAGCUACGACAUAAGUAGCCCGCCGUCGGGAGGUACGAGCGCGAAGUAAGUUAAAACGUUAAAAGGUUAAAGUUAGUACGGUUACGUUGAGACGUUCGCCGACGGACGACGACGAGGGGAGGAGGAG
RNAcentral lists this ribosomal RNA (626 nucleotides) under uncultured bacterium. Its description in RNAcentral is "bacterial SSU rRNA". The stretch from base 1 to 523 matches the Rfam family "Bacterial small subunit ribosomal RNA", at positions 338 to 873 of the family's 1533-position model. The record is from RNAcentral.